Molecule: long non-coding RNA, 210 nt
Filed under: Musa acuminata (dwarf banana)
Lineage: Eukaryota; Viridiplantae; Streptophyta; Magnoliopsida; Zingiberales; Musaceae
Description: long non-coding RNA (MACU_LNC010318)
Source: RNAcentral
CGUAGGAGGCUGAAGUGUGCAAUGAGUUCAGCAUGUUGCUAGGCCUUGAGUGGUGCAGCGGGGGCUGUAUUGACGUGGAGUCACAAUUUAGCAAGUGCGUUUACAGGAGGCAGAUCAUUGCACAGUUUGUUCAGCAGAUCGGAGUAGUCCAAGGGGAUGGUGGUCUCCGAAACAAAGAGAGAUGUUGCUCCAAUGGGACAGUUAUCCAGG